Molecule: ribosomal RNA, 167 nt
Filed under: Bacillus nitratireducens
Lineage: Bacteria; Bacillati; Bacillota; Bacilli; Caryophanales; Bacillaceae
Description: 16S rRNA. Bacterial SSU
Rfam family: Bacterial small subunit ribosomal RNA
Source: RNAcentral
CUUUAUUGGAGAGUUUGAUCCUGGCUCAGGAUGAACGCUGGCGGCGUGCCUAAUACAUGCAAGUCGAGCGAAUGGAUUGAGAGCUUGCUCUCAAGAAGUUAGCGGCGGACGGGUGAGUAACACGUGGGUAACCUGCCCAUAAGACUGGGAUAACUCCGGGAAACCGG